Molecule: microRNA precursor, 105 nt
Filed under: Canis lupus familiaris (dog)
Lineage: Eukaryota; Metazoa; Chordata; Mammalia; Carnivora; Canidae
Also listed under: 1 other name
Description: mir-8834 microRNA precursor family
Rfam family: mir-8834 microRNA precursor family
Source: Rfam by way of RNAcentral
AGGAGGAACAACCCCAGUGGCAGGGCCAGCUCUGCAGCCCUGGAGUCAGCUCCCGCAGUAGCUCCAGAGCUCUCUGCCUGCAGGGCCUGGAGGCUCCGGGCGGGG